AGCGAACGCUGGCGGCGUGCUUACCACAUGCAAGUCGAGCGGUAAGGCCCUUUCGGGGGUACACGAGCGGCGAACGGGUGAGUAACACGUGGGUGACCUGCCCUUAGCUCUGGGAUAAGCCUGGGAAACUGGGUCUAAUACCGGAUAUGACUCCAUGACGCAUGUUGUGGGGUGGAAAGCCUUGUGCGGCUGGGGAUGGGCCCGCGGCCUAUCAGCUUGUUGGUGGGGUGAUGGCCUACCAAGGCGA
Molecule: ribosomal RNA, 247 nt
Filed under: uncultured Actinomycetes bacterium
Lineage: Bacteria; Bacillati; Actinomycetota; Actinomycetes
Description: uncultured actinobacterium partial 16S ribosomal RNA
Rfam family: Bacterial small subunit ribosomal RNA
Source: RNAcentral